Molecule: ribosomal RNA, 253 nt
Filed under: uncultured bacterium
Lineage: Bacteria
Description: partial 16S ribosomal RNA
Rfam family: Bacterial small subunit ribosomal RNA
Source: RNAcentral
UACGGAGGGGGCUAGCGUUGUUCGGAAUUACUGGGCGUAAAGCGCACGUAGGCGGGGCGGUAAGUUGGGGGUGAAAGCCCCGGGCUCAACCUGGGAACUGCCUUCAAGACUGCAGUCCUGGACUAAGGCAGAGGCGAGCGGAAUUCCGGGUGUAGAGGUGAAAUGCGUAGAUAUUGGCAGGAACAACAGUGGCGAAGGCGACCUGCUGGGCUAGUAGUGACACUUAAGCGCGACAGCGUGGGGAGCAAACAGG